GGGGACUGCUCUUUAAAAGGCUGUUAAAUGGUGAUACUAUAUUUUUUAACAUCAGCAUCAUUUAGAAACCUUUUAGAGAACAGUUCUC
Callithrix jacchus (white-tufted-ear marmoset) is the source of this 88-nucleotide microRNA precursor. NCBI's taxonomy places the organism in Eukaryota, Metazoa, Chordata, Mammalia, Primates, Cebidae. The record is from Ensembl.